RNAcentral lists this transfer RNA (103 nucleotides) under Hemiselmis andersenii. Its description in RNAcentral is "tRNA-Cys". Lineage: Eukaryota; Cryptophyceae; Cryptomonadales; Hemiselmidaceae. The record is from RNAcentral.
AGUGUGAGGAGAAAUUCUUUUUUUCGAACUCCCGACCAUGAAACCAAGUAUUGAUCUGCAGUCAAACGCUCUGAAUGAAUUAACCACUGAGCUACACACUCUG